Non-coding RNA from Pelobates cultripes (western spadefoot toad), 569 nucleotides. Lineage: Eukaryota; Metazoa; Chordata; Amphibia; Anura; Pelobatidae. The record is from the annotation of a GenBank genome assembly.
CCUUGAUUGAACUAACAAUAAACAAGUGUUUUGUCAGCUUAUCUGACAAAGUACAGUAAUAUAUAUCACUGGAUACCAGUCACAUAUUCCUCUGCCCUAUUUGGUUGACAAACAGGAAAAUUAAAUAUGCCAUAAUUGCUGUACCAUUUCAGGGUAUCUUCCAGACACCAACAACAUUUAAUCCAUUGUUUUCCAAAUGCAGUUCAACUCAUAGGUCUAAUUAAAGGCAGCCGAAUUAACCCUUACCAUGCUCUAAUCAAUCAUACCACCUCUAUUGGGUAACCUGUCUAUGCAUCCACUACACACAUAACAUUAACCAACUAUAUUUUGACAAUUAAACCAUGAAUACACACCCCGUUGAUUGACAAUAAAUAUUGUUCAUUGGGCAUGGCAACACACAUAUAUUGUGAACUCCCAUUAAUAUCUCCCUUCUCAAUAGCUGCCUAAUGUCCCUUCAGUGUUGUCACUGGGUCUACUCCACAGGAAUCUCGGGCGCUGGGUAUGACAUCUUGCAUCCCAUAGGCCUGGAAGACAGCGAUUGUCUGCCAGCGCUAUUUGCAUCUUCUCUC